UCUGUCAGAGCUAGCCAGAGGUGAGUGGAAUGACUCUUAUGGUUUUAAAUAAAUAAAUAAAUCAGUUUUGAGCAUGUUCAUGCAUCACGGAUGCCAUGUGAUAUUCUAGGAUGCUUGCAUUAGAAAUCACGAAUAUGUUGCAUUGCAUAAUAUGUUGAUGAUGUGGAUGAAUGUUGAAUGAUCCAUUAGCCCUCAUAUGUUAUGACAUGAUGAUAUGAUAUGGAAGUCCAGGUGUGGCCUGCACUACGCCCCUGGCACUAUGUAAGAGAAAGACCGGAUGUGGCCUACACUACGCCCCCGGCAUCAUGGAUUAUGUAUGUUAUGUUAUGUUAUGUAUAAGAGAAAGACCAGGUGUGGCCUGCACUACGCCCCUGGCAUGAUUGGAUUAUGUAGAGGGCUAAAUGGUGACAAGUUCAUCCUUGAUAUGAUUAGUUAUGAUGUGAUGCAUUUCAUGUUAUCAUAUGUUUUAAAUGCUUUACUAUUUUGCUCACUGGGCUCUAGUAGCUCACCCCUCUCCCAAAUUCCCCAGGUUUGC
RNAcentral lists this long non-coding RNA (535 nucleotides) under Manihot esculenta (cassava). Its description in RNAcentral is "long non-coding RNA (MESC_LNC006590)". Lineage: Eukaryota; Viridiplantae; Streptophyta; Magnoliopsida; Malpighiales; Euphorbiaceae. The record is from RNAcentral.